ACCCCAGAGUGCAGUCUGGACGUUGGGGCUGGGCGACACUUCGAGGCGGAGCGACACGUGUCGCCCCGCCCAUAUUUGUUUUCCCCGCCUUUGACAUUUUGCUCCGAGCCAGCAGGGGGCAGUUUGCGUUGAAACAAACAGAACGGUGGCAACUGCAGCAGCAGAGUAAAAACGCUAUUUCACGUUGAUUGCAUGAGGUGAGUAAAAGUGGUUGUGUAAAUAUCUUAUAAUAUUAAAUGCGAUGUUCGAUCAUUUAUUUAUCCAUGGUACGUUCAAUUUGAAUAAUUAUUGUUAAUAAUUGUUAUAAAUUGCUCUUUUAUUGUUCUUUGUGGAUUGUAACAGUACACUUUGUACAUGGCUUUAGUUCUUAGGUUUGAUUUUACAGAGGUAUGCCAUUACAUUUGUCAAGUUAUUUGAACAGACAUGCAUGAUUAUUGUGUGUAUAUUAUUAUUAUUAUUAUUUUUCAGGAUGACAUGAUCAGGAGGUGGUGGUGUUCUGUUCUCCUGGACAGCUUCACUCCGCAAAUAGCUCAACCACUGAGGGGAGGAACUUCACCAUACAAAAGACAAUGUCUUCAGGCAGAGUCGAGCAAAGCAGCUUCCCCUGGAAAUCCUCAGUUAAUUUUAUUUUUUCAGCGGGUGACUCUGCAUAUUUGACACUUUCUCUGGUUUGCAGAUGGUUUAGUGAUGUGCUCACUCAAGAAGUUUUUCGGAAAGCGGCACAGUUUGCCUGGCUAGACAUUGUGGCCAACUGGAAGAAUUGUCCUCCUGUCUCCUGACCGGAACGAGUUCAGACGGAUGUACAGCAUCAGGGAAUGCUUGCAGUGCAGAGCCCUUUUCAAGUUUUACCCACCAGGGUACAGGGAAGAGGCCGGUGUGGUGAUCUUCUGGGCUUUUGUUUACACAGGAUUUUGUUCCAAGGACAUGAAAACACAUUUGUGUGUUAAAUUCAUUGAAGGGAAAUAGAGAAUGGACUGAGAUCAACUGGUUUUGAUGUAUUAAUUGAUGUCAUUUAAAGUUAAACUUUGCAGUGUAUAAUGUUUUAAUAAAAAAGCUAUGGCAAACA
Long non-coding RNA from Carassius gibelio (silver crucian carp), 1066 nucleotides. RefSeq lists it as uncharacterized. Lineage: Eukaryota; Metazoa; Chordata; Actinopteri; Cypriniformes; Cyprinidae. The record is from RefSeq and is a predicted model, not a curated record. The transcript is spliced from 4 exons.